This 468-nucleotide ribosomal RNA is filed under the name uncultured bacterium. RNAcentral describes it as "partial 16S ribosomal RNA". It matches the Rfam family "Bacterial small subunit ribosomal RNA", at positions 28 to 507 of the family's 1533-position model. The record is from RNAcentral.
GACGAACGCUGGCGGCGUGCUUAACACAUGCAAGUCGAACGGAAAGGCCCUGCUUUUGUGGGGUGCUCGAGUGGCGAACGGGUGAGUAACACGUGAGUAACCUGCCCUUGACUUUGGGAUAACUUCAGGAAACUGGGGCUAAUACCGGAUAGGAGCUCCUGCUGCAUGGUGGGGGUUGGAAAGUUUCGGCGGUUGGGGAUGGACUCGCGGCUUAUCAGCUUGUUGGUGGGGUAGUGGCUUACCAAGGCUUUGACGGGUAGCCGGCCUGAGAGGGUGACCGGCCACAUUGGGACUGAGAUACGGCCCAGACUCCUACGGGAGGCAGAAGUGGGGAAUAUUGCACAAUGGGCGGAAGCAUGAUGCAGCAACGCCGCGGGAGGGAUAACGGCCGUCGGGUUGUAAACCGCUUUCGCCUGUGACGAAGCGUGAGUGACGGUAAUGGGUAAAGAAGCACCGGCUAACUACGUG